Molecule: long non-coding RNA, 958 nt
Organism: Mesocricetus auratus (golden hamster)
Lineage: Eukaryota; Metazoa; Chordata; Mammalia; Rodentia; Cricetidae
Exons: 2
Source: RefSeq, a predicted model, not a curated record
CCCCACCCAUGACACUAUAAGCACAACCUUUCUCGUUUUCCACAUUCUGAGACUGGUCACACCUACAUCCUCCCCACAGGCCGGAACUGCAUUCCAGUAAUAGGGAAUGAUUCAGCAGCGUUCAUAACGAGGCUUACAGGUGACACCCACACCUCGGCCUGCCCUUCUGCGAGUGUGACACUUACCAUGAGAACCUGAACGAGAAAUGAGACCAGGAGUGAGACCAGGAAGAAGGUUUCAGAGGGAGGGCCUCACAGAGGCCCAGGUCCACGACAGGAGGGGCAAGCACUUUCCGGAACUCCAAGAGACGCUCGCCAGGACACAGAGCAGGCCCAUUUUUUACUCAGGCAGGAAUGUUCCUCUUGGUUAUUAAAGGAUGGCCGUGUAGGGGCUGAAGAGACGCGGCUGCCUGCUCUUGCUGAGGACCCAGGUUUGGUUCCCAGACCUUUCAUGGUGGCUCAGAACUGCCGCCACUCCCAGUUCCCAGGCAUCGGAUGCCUUCCUGUCCCCCGUCUGCCCCAGUGACUCCCAUCCACUCCUCUGCCCUCCAUUGCCCCCAGUGACUCCCCUCCCCUCCUCUGUCCCCCAGUGGCUCCCAUCCCCUCCCCUGUCCUCCAUCGCCCCCAGUGACUUCCAUUCCCUCUAGCUGGUAGAGCUUUGGCCCCCCACCCCCCCCAAAAAAAACCAGCAGAAACAGCCACGCAGGGAGUCAACCUUCUCUUUGAUAAUAUGGUUUAUUGUCCAUUGACAAAGCAAUCCCUCAAAAAUAAAAAUAAAAACUGAUACAAAGCAUCAGAGACACGCAUAGUCGACCUGUUGACUUUGAACAACUCUCAGGUGUUGUCAGCAUGGGGUGCAGGGAGGUUCGUCUCAGACUUCAUAUCCCAGCAUGAACACAGUGCUUCCCCUCCCCCCCACCAACAACCAAGAGUUCAAACGGAAACAAAAUCAACAAAGC